GUGUCAGCAGCCGCGGUAAUACGAGUGCCUCGAGCGUUAUCCGGAAUCAUUGGGCGUAAAGGGUGCGUAGGCGGCGAUGUUAGUCUCCCGUAAAAUCUUUCGGCUCAACCGAGAGUCCGCGGGGGAAACGGCAUUGCUUGAGGACGGGAGAGGUUUCUGGAACUCAUGGUGUAGCGGUGAAAUGCGUUGAUAUCAUGGGGAACACCAAAAGCGAAGGCAAGAAACUGGCCCGCUCCUGACGCUGAAGCACGAAAGCGUGGGUCGCGAAUGGGAUUAGAUACCCCAGUAGUCC
RNAcentral lists this ribosomal RNA (292 nucleotides) under uncultured bacterium. RNAcentral's name for it is "partial 16S ribosomal RNA". It matches the Rfam family "Bacterial small subunit ribosomal RNA", at positions 505 to 796 of the family's 1533-position model. The record is from RNAcentral.